UUCUCGAAGAAAAUUUAAAAG
Molecule: non-coding RNA, 21 nt
Filed under: Caenorhabditis elegans
Lineage: Eukaryota; Metazoa; Nematoda; Chromadorea; Rhabditida; Rhabditidae
Source: RNAcentral